CACGUCACCAGUACCAGGCAUCCCAAAUGAACGGAUCCCUUUGCUUCUUUACAUUCACGUACCGUCAAUGCCUGAGCUCGACCUACAUGCCUCCAAACUAAGCAAGUUUGAGCAAGUUUCUUACUUUCUGCAAGGCCCAAGAGAAAGAAACUGAACUGAGGUUCCCAUUUCUGGGGAACAGAGAGCCAUCAUCUCCUCCCUCCACAGAGGAGAUGCAGCCAAAGCCCCAAGAACUGAGCAUAGUCCAUGAGUUCUAUUGGCGUCAUUCGAGACUAACUCUUCAAGAGCUGAUAGAUACUCAGUUGUGGAAACUGCAGGAUCAGUUCUCUGUUCAACCACAUCCUCGAGAAUUGUGCAGCCAGAACCUGGGAUGAAAGCAAGCAAAUGUGGGCUCUAUUGUGGAGGUACAAAAAGCUUCAUAUCCUGCUGGUUUUCUGAACACCUGGGCUCAGUGCAAUACCACAUAUGUCCUCCAGGAAGCAGACGUCCCUCACCCAUGGACACUUGUCCACUC
Molecule: non-coding RNA, 514 nt
Organism: Equus caballus (horse)
Lineage: Eukaryota; Metazoa; Chordata; Mammalia; Perissodactyla; Equidae
Source: RefSeq, a predicted model, not a curated record